This 881-nucleotide ribosomal RNA is filed under the name uncultured eukaryote. RNAcentral describes it as "bacterial SSU rRNA". It matches the Rfam family "Eukaryotic small subunit ribosomal RNA", at positions 570 to 1468 of the family's 1831-position model. The record is from RNAcentral.
GCAGCCGCGGUAAUUCCAGCUCCAAUAGCGUAUAUUAAAGUUGUUGUGGUUAAAAAGCUCGUAGUUGGAUCUCAACAGCCUUGAAGCGGUUAACUUUGUAGUUUUACUGCUUUAUAGGCUGUGCUUUUGCUGGAGGUUUAGGGGUGCUCUUGAUCGAGUGUCUCUGGAUGCCAGCAGGUUUACUUUGAAAAAAUUAGAGUGCUCAAAGCAGGCUAAAAUGCCUGAAUAUUCGUGCAUGGAAUAAUAGAAUAGGAUGUCGAUCCUAUUUUGUUGGUUUUCGGGACUCGACAUAAUGAUAAAUAGGGACAGUCGGGGGCAUUUGUAUUCAAACGACAGAGGUGAAAUUCUUGGACCGUUUGAAGACAAACUACUGCGAAAGCAUUUGCCAAGAAUGUUUUCAUUAAUCAAGAACGAAAGUCAGAGGUUCGAAGACGAUCAGAUACCGUCGUAGUUCUGACCAUAAACGAUGCCAGCUCGGGAUUCGUCGGAGUUGUUGAGAUGACUCGACGAGCACCGUCCGGGAAACCAAAGCUUUUGGGUUCCGGGGGAAGUAUGGUUGCAAAGCUGAAACUUAAAGGAAUUGACGGAAGGGCACCACCAGGAGUGGAGCCUGCGGCUUAAUUUGACUCAACACGGGGAAACUUAUCAGGGCAAGACACCGUAAGGAUUGACAGAUUGAGAGCUCUUUCUUGAUUCGGUGGGUGGUGGUGCAUGGCCGUUCUUAGUUGGUGGAGCGAUUUGUCUGGUUAAUUCCGAUAACGAACGAGACUCUAGCCUGCUAAAUAGUCGGGUGGAUUCUUCGGAGUCCAUCUCAUUCAAGACUUCUUAGAGGGACUAGCGGCGUUUAGCCGCACGAGAUUGAGCAAUAACAGGUCUGUGAU